GCAAGUCGAGCGAGAAAGCACUUCGGUGCGAGUACAGCGGCGGACGGGUGAGUAACGCGUAGGAAUCUACCUGGUAGUGGGGGACAACUUGUGGAAACGCAAGCUAAUACCGCAUACGCCCUAAGGGGGAAAGCGGGGGAUCUUCGGGCCUCGCGCUAUCAGAUGAGCCUGCGUUGGAUUAGCUUGUUGGUGAGGUAAGAGCUCACCAAGGCGACGAUCCUUAGCUGGUCUGAGAGGAUGAUC
RNAcentral lists this ribosomal RNA (243 nucleotides) under uncultured bacterium. Its description in RNAcentral is "partial 16S ribosomal RNA". It matches the Rfam family "Bacterial small subunit ribosomal RNA", at positions 57 to 305 of the family's 1533-position model. The record is from RNAcentral.